RNAcentral lists this transfer RNA (81 nucleotides) under Arachnia rubra. Its description in RNAcentral is "tRNA-Leu". It matches the Rfam family "tRNA". From Rfam's summary of the family: Transfer RNA (tRNA) molecules are approximately 80 nucleotides in length. Lineage: Bacteria; Bacillati; Actinomycetota; Actinomycetes; Propionibacteriales; Propionibacteriaceae. The record is from RNAcentral. RNAcentral also lists the same sequence under 2 other names.
ACCGACGUGGUGGAAUUGGUAGACACGCAGGAUUUAGGUUCCUGUGCCUUGCGCGUGAGGGUUCGAGUCCCUUCGUCGGUA